This is a long non-coding RNA of Eriocheir sinensis (Chinese mitten crab), 295 nucleotides long. RefSeq lists it as uncharacterized. The transcript is spliced from 4 exons. NCBI's taxonomy places the organism in Eukaryota, Metazoa, Arthropoda, Malacostraca, Decapoda, Varunidae. The record is from RefSeq and is a predicted model, not a curated record.
CGGUGUCCUGGUGAGAAGAGGUGUCCUGGUGAGAAGAGGUGUCCUGGUGAGAAGAGGUGUCCUGGUGAGAAGAGGUGUCCUGGUGAGAAGAGGUGUCCUGGUGAGAAGAGGUGUCCUGGUGAGAAGAGGUGUCCUGGUGAGAAGAGGUGUCCUGGUGAGAAGAGGUGUCCUGGUGAGAAGAGGUGUCCUGGUGAGAAGAGGUGUCCUGGUGAGAAGCGGUGUCCUGGUGAGAAGAGGUGUCCUGGUGAGAAGCGGUGUCCUGGUGAGAUGAGGUGUCCUGGUGAGAAGAGGUGUC